GCCCACGUAGCUCAGUCGGACAGAGCAGGGACCUCCUAAGUCCAAGGUCGCAGGUUCGAAUCCUGCCGUGGGCG
Molecule: transfer RNA, 74 nt
Filed under: bacterium
Lineage: Bacteria
Description: tRNA-Arg
Rfam family: tRNA
About the family: Transfer RNA (tRNA) molecules are approximately 80 nucleotides in length.
Source: RNAcentral